Molecule: ribosomal RNA, 497 nt
Filed under: uncultured bacterium
Lineage: Bacteria
Description: partial 16S ribosomal RNA
Rfam family: Bacterial small subunit ribosomal RNA
Source: RNAcentral
GAUGAACGCUGGCGGCGUGCCUAAUACAUGCAAGUCGAGCGAACGGACGAGAAGCUUGCUUCUCUGAUGUUAGCGGCGGACGGGUGAGUAACACGUGGAUAACCUACCUAUAAGACUGGGAUAACUUCGGGAAACCGGAGCUAAUACCGGAUGAUAUUUUGAACCGCAUGGUUCAAAAGUGAAAGACGGUCUUGCUGUCACUUAUAGAUGGAUCCGCGCUGCAUUAGCUAGUUGGUAAGGUAACGGCUUACCAAGGCAACGAUGCAUAGCCGACCUGAGAGAGUGAUCGGCCACACGGGAACUGAGACACGGUCCAGACUCCUACGGGAGGCAGCAGUAGGGAAUCUUCCGCAAUGGGCGAAAGCCUGACGGAGCAACGCCGCGUGAGUGAUGAAGGUCUUCGGAUCGUAAAACUCUGUUAUUAGGGAAGAACAUAUGUGUAAGUAACUGUGCACAUCGUGACGGUACCUAAUCAGAAAGCCACGGCUAACUACGUG